RNAcentral lists this long non-coding RNA (459 nucleotides) under Monodelphis domestica (gray short-tailed opossum). RNAcentral's name for it is "lncRNA (ENSMODG00000035501.2)". The record is from RNAcentral. Lineage: Eukaryota; Metazoa; Chordata; Mammalia; Didelphimorphia; Didelphidae.
GAUUAAGUUCAGCUUACUUGGGCUGGAUGUGUUCUGAAUUCAAAACUUCCUGGAAGGCUGGAGCAAAUAUGGAGGAUCUCCACAGCUCUGGCCAGGCUGCCAGGUCUAUGCUCCCUCUUUAGCUACUUCCCCGCCAUCUGUGUUCAACACUCUGAACUUGACACAGCCCUGCUCGCAAGACCUGCAUCUCUAAUCAUCCCACCAGAACUUCUUGCUUCUCACCCUUCUGCCCUUAUAUAAAUUGGAGGAUCUGUGCCUUCUGGAUCUUGGGAGGUAAUCCUAGGCCCCCACUUCUAGCAGCCAAGAUGGUGGCAUAAGGAACAUUAUGAGAUCACCCAAUCUACCCCCAAACAACCACAUACACAAAAAGCCUCAAAUUUUAGAGUGGGACUACCAACAAAAGAUAGAGUAAAGCACAGUUUCAGCCAAAGAAAAUGUAUUGACAGGUAAGUCAUGAAC